GUGGGGAAUAUUGGACAAUGGGCGCAAGCCUGAUCCAGCAAUACCGCGUGUGUGAAGAAGGCCCGAGGGUUGUAAAGCACUUUCAAUAGGGAGGAAAACCUGCCGGUUAAUACCUGGCAGCUUGACAUUACCUAUACAAGAAGCACCGGCUAACUCCGUGCCAGCAGCCGCGGUAAUACGGAGGGUGCAAGCGUUAAUCGGAAUUACUGGGCGUAAAGCGUGCGUAGGCGGUUAAUUAAGUCAGAUGUGAAAGCCCCGGGCUUAACCUGGGAAUUGCAUUUGAUACUGGUUGACUAGAGUUUAAUAGAGGGGAGUGGAAUUUCAGGUGUAGCGGUGAAAUGCGUAGAUAUCUGAAGGAACACCAGUGGCGAAGGCGACUCCCUGGAUUAAAACUGACGCUGAGGUACGAAAGCGUGGGUAGCAAACAGGAUUAGAAACCCCGGUAGUCC
This 449-nucleotide ribosomal RNA is filed under the name uncultured bacterium. RNAcentral describes it as "bacterial SSU rRNA". It matches the Rfam family "Bacterial small subunit ribosomal RNA", at positions 354 to 796 of the family's 1533-position model. The record is from RNAcentral.